UUUCCGUAGGUGAACCUGCGGAAGGAUCAUUAAUGAAUUGGAUAUGUUAGCACACCUCUUCGCACGACCUAGCAUCAAAUCAUAUCCAUAACACCUGUCAACUGUAAGGCUGUCUAGAAAACGAAAGUGAUUAGAGCGCCCGCCCAUUUUAUACAAACAUUAAAGUAACAAAGGUAUCCUUACUAUAAUCAAAUAAAACUUUCAACAACGGAUCUCUUGGCUCUC
This 225-nucleotide unclassified non-coding RNA is filed under the name plant metagenome. Its description in RNAcentral is "partial contains small subunit ribosomal RNA, internal transcribed spacer 1, and 5.8S ribosomal RNA". The record is from RNAcentral.